CCCCUCUCAGGGUUGAACCUGGAGCGUUUCCAAUACUCUACCAGUCUCGACUAUGGGAGGGAGAGUCAAGCAGAGGCAUACCCAUUCCAUUCCUAGCUUAAGCAGUGGCUAGAGAGUGAAAGGCAAUCUGCUACAAGU
Tachyglossus aculeatus (Australian echidna) is the source of this 138-nucleotide small nucleolar RNA. Lineage: Eukaryota; Metazoa; Chordata; Mammalia; Monotremata; Tachyglossidae. The record is from RefSeq and is a predicted model, not a curated record.